AACGAACGCUGGCGGCAUGCCUAACACAUGCAAGUCGAACGAGACCUUCGGGUCUAGUGGCGCACGGGUGCGUAACGCGUGGGAACCUGCCCUUAGGUUCGGAAUAACUCCCCGAAAGGGGUGCUAAUACCGGAUAAUGUCUUCGGACCAAAGAUUUAUCGCCUUUGGAUGGGCCCGCGUUGGAUUAGCUAGUUGGUAGGGUAAAAGCCUACCAAGGCGACGAUCCAUAGCUGGUCUGAGAGGAUGAUCAGCCACACUGGGACUGAGACACGGCCCAGACUCCUACGGAGGGGAGCAGAGUGUAAUAUUGGACGAUGGGCGAUAGCCUGAUCCAGCAAUGCGGCGGGAGAGAGGAAGGCCUUAGGGUUGUAAAGCUCUUUUACCCGGGAUGAUAAUGACAGUACCGGGAGAAUAAGCACCGGCUAACUCCGUG
This 433-nucleotide ribosomal RNA is filed under the name uncultured bacterium. Its description in RNAcentral is "partial 16S ribosomal RNA". It matches the Rfam family "Bacterial small subunit ribosomal RNA", at positions 29 to 507 of the family's 1533-position model. The record is from RNAcentral.